UACAGAGGUCUCAAGCGUUGUUCGGAUUCAUUGGGCGUAAAGAGCUCGUAGGCGGCUUGUUGCGUCGGCUGUGAAAUCUCGUGGCUUAACUGCGGGUCUGCAGCUGAUACGGGCGGGCUGGAGUUCGGUAGGGGAGACUGGAAUUCCUGGUGUAGCGGUGAAAUGCGCAGAUAUCAGGAGGAACACCGGUGGCGAAGGCGGGUCUCUGGGCCGAUACUGACGCUGAGGAGCGAAAGCGUGGGGAGCGAACAGG
This 253-nucleotide ribosomal RNA is filed under the name uncultured bacterium. RNAcentral describes it as "partial 16S ribosomal RNA". It matches the Rfam family "Bacterial small subunit ribosomal RNA", at positions 524 to 776 of the family's 1533-position model. The record is from RNAcentral.